UGGGGAAUAUUGGACAAUGGGCGAAAGCCUGAUCCAGCCAUGCCGCGUGUGUGAAGAAGGUCUUCGGAUUGUAAAGCACUUUAAGUUGGGAGGAAGGGCAGUAAGCGAAUACCUUGCUGUUUUGACGUUACCGACAGAAUAAGCACCGGCUAACUCUGUGCCAGCAGCCGCGGUAAUACAGAGGGUGCAAGCGCUAAACGGAAUUACUGGGCGUAAAGCGCGCGUAGGUGGUUCGUUAAGUUGAAUGUGAAAGCCCCGGGCUCAACCUGGGAACUGCAUCCAAAACUGGCGAGCUAGAGUAGGGCAGAGGGUGGUAGAAGUGCAUGUAUAGCGGUGAAAUGCGUAGAUAUAGGAAGGAACACCAGUGGCGAAGGCAACCACCUGGGCUCAAACUGACACUGAAGUGCGAAAGCGUGGGGAGCAAACAGG
Molecule: ribosomal RNA, 429 nt
Filed under: Pseudomonadota bacterium
Lineage: Bacteria; Pseudomonadati; Pseudomonadota
Description: Proteobacteria bacterium partial 16S ribosomal RNA
Rfam family: Bacterial small subunit ribosomal RNA
Source: RNAcentral